AAGGGGGUAGUUUUUAGCACGUAUGCGCCAUGGAUGGCGUAUCAUGAAUGUUGCUAUUAAGAUCCAGCAGUAUCUUUUGAAGAUUUUCUACCUCC
Non-coding RNA from Glossina fuscipes fuscipes, 95 nucleotides. The record is from Rfam. Lineage: Eukaryota; Metazoa; Arthropoda; Insecta; Diptera; Glossinidae.